This 348-nucleotide long non-coding RNA is filed under the name Ananas comosus (pineapple). Its description in RNAcentral is "long non-coding RNA (ACOM_LNC019671)". The record is from RNAcentral. Lineage: Eukaryota; Viridiplantae; Streptophyta; Magnoliopsida; Poales; Bromeliaceae.
CAAUCGAAAGGAUUCAAAUCAAUAAUUUUUAACGGCUGAAAAUAAAAAUCCUAUAAAAAGUGAUGAUAUAGCACUAAAAUUUUCGAUCAGAAAUAUAGAUCUUGUUGUAGAUAGUAUAAAGAAUUUUCUCUCAAAAUUUUACUUGAUUUGAAUACUUCUACACCGUUAACUUGAAAACGGCCAGAUAUCAACCAUUAAAAAUUAUGGAUUUUGAAUCCUUUCGAUCACUAGGUAAAUGAUAUCGAAAAAUCGCAAAAAUUAUUUUCUAGAAACUUCAAAUGCGCUAGAUCAAGUCUAACGAGCCGAUCGUCGAUUCGAAAAUUCCAUCAUCGAAAACGGCUCAAGAGC